Non-coding RNA from Pelobates cultripes (western spadefoot toad), 78 nucleotides. Lineage: Eukaryota; Metazoa; Chordata; Amphibia; Anura; Pelobatidae. The record is from the annotation of a GenBank genome assembly.
UAUGUUUGUGUAGUGUGUGUAUAUAAUGCAGUGUGUUUGUGUAGUGUGCAUUAUAUAAACACACUACACAAACACUGC